UCGUUUCAGUAUAGACCCGAUAUAGCCGGGCUGUGCCUAGCCCACUUCUAGCCCAAUUAAACUUUAAUUUGGUUACAUGUGGUUUUUGACAAAAUAAUUUGUGAGAUGGAUGCUAUUUUAUCAUGUAAGCAAAGUUAACAGCGAUUACAAGAUAAACAAAAUCCAGUUACAACUCCGAACCGCUAGAUGGCAGCAGUACACAAACACGGGGCCAAAUCUCACGAGAAAGAUUUCCGCUUUUUGAAAAGCAACAACAUCAGCGAGCAGCCACGAGGAAAGCAUGUACCACACUUGUUUGGUCUUGUGUCAAAGCUGUGCGAAACUGGAGGGAGAAACUUGAGAGACCGUGCCGGAAGAAUGCUGGACAGAGUUCACUAAAAUUCAUUAAUUUCAAAGUUCAACAUGAAUGGUGGUGGUCCACUGCAGAAGCAAGCAUUUGAAAAAACAUCAGUUCUCAGUUAUUAAAGAUGCUGUGUUGAACAACUUCCCAGCAGCAACAGAACUGGAAGUGAAGGAUGCAAUGGGGGCAUUUCAAACAGGCACCAGGGAGCACGGGGGGGGG
Paramisgurnus dabryanus is the source of this 562-nucleotide long non-coding RNA. RefSeq lists it as uncharacterized. Lineage: Eukaryota; Metazoa; Chordata; Actinopteri; Cypriniformes; Cobitidae. The record is from RefSeq and is a predicted model, not a curated record.